CUGAACACCUGUGCACCUUCUUGCGGGCCGACCCUCUGUCGGCCUGGCAUCAGAGUUUGAUGAUAAUCAACCCAGGUGGGGCCUCCAUUGGCCAUCACUCCACAUCACACGCGGUGGGAUGGGAUUGGGGCAAACUUGGUUAGAUGUCAGAUUCUAGAUGCUACACACAAACCUGUCAAUGUAUGGUGUUGAAUUGAAACAUGUAACA
RNAcentral lists this unclassified non-coding RNA (208 nucleotides) under uncultured fungus. RNAcentral describes it as "sequence contains ITS1". Lineage: Eukaryota; Fungi. The record is from RNAcentral.